AUACAUGCAGUCGAGCGAACAGAUAAGGAGCUUGCUCCUUUGACGUUAGCGGCGGACGGGUGAGUAACACGUGGGUAACCUACCUAUAAGACUGGGAUAACUUCGGGAAACCGGAGCUAAUACCGGAUAACAUUUGGAACCGCAUGGUUCUAAAGUGAAAGAUGGUUUUGCUAUCACUUAUAGAUGGACCCGCGCCGUAUUAGCUAGUUGGUAAGGUAACGGCUUACCAAGGCGACGAUACGUAGCCGACCUGAGAGGGUGAUCGGCCACACUGGAACUGAGACACGGUCCAGACUCCUACGGGAGGCAGCAGUAGGGAAUCUUCCGCAAUGGGCGAAAGCCUGACGGAGCAACGCCGCGUGAGUGAUGAAGGGUUUCGGCUCGUAAAACUCUGUUAUUAGGGAAGAGCAAAUGUGUCAGUAACUGUGCACGUCUUGACGGUACCUAAU
Molecule: ribosomal RNA, 449 nt
Filed under: Staphylococcus sp.
Lineage: Bacteria; Bacillati; Bacillota; Bacilli; Caryophanales; Staphylococcaceae
Description: bacterial SSU rRNA
Rfam family: Bacterial small subunit ribosomal RNA
Source: RNAcentral